RNAcentral lists this ribosomal RNA (440 nucleotides) under uncultured bacterium. RNAcentral's name for it is "partial 16S ribosomal RNA". It matches the Rfam family "Bacterial small subunit ribosomal RNA", at positions 28 to 506 of the family's 1533-position model. The record is from RNAcentral.
GAUGAACGCUGGCGGCGUGCCUAAUACAUGCAAGUCGAACGGGGAGUAGCAAUACUCUUAGUGGCGAACGGGUGAGUAACGCGUUGGUACCUGCCCCGAAGCGGGGGAUAACGGACCGAAAGGUCCGCUAAUACCCCAUGUGCUCGGUAACGAGUAAAGGUGAAAACCACUUUGGGAGGGGCAUGCGUCCCAUCAGCUAGUUGGUAAGGUAACGGCUUACCAAGGCGAUGACGGGUAGGGGACCUGAGAGGGUGGCCCCCCACAAUGGAACUGAAACACGGUCCAUACACCUACGGGUGGCAGCAGUAGGGAUUAUUGGUAAUGGGCGCAAGCCUGAACCAGCAACGCCGCGUGUGCGAUGACGGCCUUCGGGUUGUAAAGCACUUUUGACUGGGACGAGGAAGGACGGUACCGGUCGAAUCAGCCUCGGCUAACUACGU